AAGAGUGUUGAGAGGAGCUGUCCCUAGUACGAGAGGACCGGGACGGACGCAUCUCUAGUGUACCAGUUGUGGCGCCAGCUGCAUCGCUGGGUAGCUACAUGCGGAUCGGAUAACCGCUGAAUGCAUCUAAGCGGGAAGCCGGCCUCAAGAUGAGCACUCUCGGAUGGUAACGCAUCCCAUAGACCUGUUGAAGACGACAACGUUGAUAGGCGGCAGGUGGAAGCGCGGUGACGUGUGAAGCUGAGCCGUACUAAUCGGUCAUGUGGCUUGACCUU
Molecule: non-coding RNA, 275 nt
Filed under: Candidatus Entotheonella factor
Lineage: Bacteria; Pseudomonadati; Candidatus Tectimicrobiota; Candidatus Entotheonellia; Candidatus Entotheonellales; Candidatus Entotheonellaceae
Description: Candidatus Entotheonella sp. TSY1 Bacterial large subunit ribosomal RNA
Rfam family: Bacterial large subunit ribosomal RNA
Source: Rfam by way of RNAcentral